UGGGGAAUCUUGCACAAUGGGCGAAAGCCUGAUGCAGCGACGCCGCGUGCGGGAUGAAGGCCUUCGGGUUGUAAACCGCUUUCAGCAGGGACGAGGCCGCAAGGUGACGGUACCUGCAGAAGAAGCCCCGGCUUACUACGUGCCAGCAGCCGCGGUAAUACGUAAGGUCCGAGCGUUGUCCGGAAUCAUUGGGCGUAAAGGGUACGUAGGCGGAUAAGCAAGUUAGAAGUGAAAUCCUAUAGCUCAACUAUAGUAAGCUUUUAAAACUGCUCAUCUUGAGGUAUGGAAGGGAAAGUGGAAUUCCUAGUGUAGCGGUGAAAUGCGCAGAUAUUAGGAGGAAUACCGGUGGCGAAGGCGACUUUCUGGCCAUAUACUGACGCUGAGGUACGAAAGCGUGGGUAGCAAACAGG
RNAcentral lists this ribosomal RNA (410 nucleotides) under Verrucomicrobiota bacterium. Its description in RNAcentral is "Verrucomicrobia bacterium partial 16S ribosomal RNA". It matches the Rfam family "Bacterial small subunit ribosomal RNA", at positions 355 to 776 of the family's 1533-position model. The record is from RNAcentral. Lineage: Bacteria; Pseudomonadati; Verrucomicrobiota.